Molecule: long non-coding RNA, 833 nt
Organism: Ooceraea biroi (clonal raider ant)
Lineage: Eukaryota; Metazoa; Arthropoda; Insecta; Hymenoptera; Formicidae
Source: RefSeq, a predicted model, not a curated record
CGGCGCGCCACUCGUUCGUAAGCGCGUCCGUUCCGUAAGUGCUCAGCAUUUUUCGCAUUAUUUGCCGGUAGAAAAUCGAUCGCGCAUACUUGGACUAUCGGAACCGUCGUGCGAGACACUGACGAUGCGUUUUCGCGACGGAUCUCUCCUUCCAAGCGACUCGGAUGGAUUCUUUGAGGAAUGCAAUUCCUGCAUCGAUGAGUGCCGAUAGAACCGCAUCGUCGCAGUUGCAAUAAUGGCGCGCGGAAAUCGAUCUCGCAUACUUGGACUAUCGGAACCGUCGUGCGAGACACUGACGAUGCGUUUUCGCGAUGGACUUCUUCUUCCAAGCGACUCGGAUGGAUUCUUUGAGGAAUGCAAUUCCGGCAUCGACGAGUGCCGAUAGAACCGAACCGUCGCAGUUGCAAAAUGGCGCGCGAGUUCGUGAAUAAUGUUGCAUCUUGGAGUGCACUUGCGAAAACUACGAAACAAAGAUAUUAACUUAUUUAUCGAUUACGAUUGACGCAUCGGGAAUAUCGUUUAAAGCACUACGUGUUAUCGUAUAUUUGCUAAUUAGCGCGAUCAGUGCGUGCAAUCGUACCGUUAAGUUUGUUUUCUGUAAUGUGCGAGUAUUAUGCCAGAAGUAAACUUUGCCAUGCGAGUUAAUCGCAUCUUCGUGAGUGAGUAUCGUUGAGUUAGUCUUCGAUUACAUCGUGAAGUACUGAAAGGAAGUGGAGACCUGGGAGACGUUGAGCAAUAACGGGAUAAUUGCGGAGUGAGUGAUAAAAAUAUAUUAGAUAAUUAUAUAAAUGGCAGAAAGAACUUAAUUAUAUUAACCAAAUGAUCUUUUUAAU